This 1270-nucleotide ribosomal RNA is filed under the name Microbacterium paraoxydans. RNAcentral's name for it is "bacterial SSU rRNA". It matches the Rfam family "Bacterial small subunit ribosomal RNA", at positions 173 to 1453 of the family's 1533-position model. The record is from RNAcentral. Lineage: Bacteria; Bacillati; Actinomycetota; Actinomycetes; Micrococcales; Microbacteriaceae.
AUAUGUGACGUGACCGCAUGGUCUUCGUUUGGAAAGAUUUUUCGGUUGGGGAUGGGCUCGCGGCCUAUCAGCUUGUUGGUGAGGUAAUGGCUCACCAAGGCGUCGACGGGUAGCCGGCCUGAGAGGGUGACCGGCCACACUGGGACUGAGACACGGCCCAGACUCCUACGGGAGGCAGCAGUGGGGAAUAUUGCACAAUGGGCGCAAGCCUGAUGCAGCAACGCCGCGUGAGGGAUGACGGCCUUCGGGUUGUAAACCUCUUUUAGCAGGGAAGAAGCGAAAGUGACGGUACCUGCAGAAAAAGCGCCGGCUAACUACGUGCCAGCAGCCGCGGUAAUACGUAGGGCGCAAGCGUUAUCCGGAAUUAUUGGGCGUAAAGAGCUCGUAGGCGGUUUGUCGCGUCUGCUGUGAAAUCCCGAGGCUCAACCUCGGGCCUGCAGUGGGUACGGGCAGACUAGAGUGCGGUAGGGGAGAUUGGAAUUCCUGGUGUAGCGGUGGAAUGCGCAGAUAUCAGGAGGAACACCGAUGGCGAAGGCAGAUCUCUGGGCCGUAACUGACGCUGAGGAGCGAAAGGGUGGGGAGCAAACAGGCUUAGAUACCCUGGUAGUCCACCCCGUAAACGUUGGGAACUAGUUGUGGGGUCCAUUCCACGGAUUCCGUGACGCAGCUAACGCAUUAAGUUCCCCGCCUGGGGAGUACGGCCGCAAGGCUAAAACUCAAAGGAAUUGACGGGGACCCGCACAAGCGGCGGAGCAUGCGGAUUAAUUCGAUGCAACGCGAAGAACCUUACCAAGGCUUGACAUAUACGAGAACGGGCCAGAAAUGGUCAACUCUUUGGACACUCGUAAACAGGUGGUGCAUGGUUGUCGUCAGCUCGUGUCGUGAGAUGUUGGGUUAAGUCCCGCAACGAGCGCAACCCUCGUUCUAUGUUGCCAGCACGUAAUGGUGGGAACUCAUGGGAUACUGCCGGGGUCAACUCGGAGGAAGGUGGGGAUGACGUCAAAUCAUCAUGCCCCUUAUGUCUUGGGCUUCACGCAUGCUACAAUGGCCGGUACAAAGGGCUGCAAUACCGUGAGGUGGAGCGAAUCCCAAAAAGCCGGUCCCAGUUCGGAUUGAGGUCUGCAACUCGACCUCAUGAAGUCGGAGUCGCUAGUAAUCGCAGAUCAGCAACGCUGCGGUGAAUACGUUCCCGGGUCUUGUACACACCGCCCGUCAAGUCAUGAAAGUCGGUAACACCUGAAGCCGGUGGCCUAACCCUUGUGGAGGGAGC